UAUCUGAAACCUGACGAGGAUGAGAACCUCCGGGGGCAAGAGGUUCGACCCGAGCGAAGCGAGAGAACGUUGCGUCAGCAACGGCCCGCAGUGGCAAGUCAUCCUCUGUCACCGGCA
RNAcentral lists this small RNA (117 nucleotides) under Salmonella enterica subsp. enterica serovar Muenchen. RNAcentral's name for it is "RtT sRNA". It matches the Rfam family "RtT RNA". From Rfam's summary of the family: This family represents a bacterial cis-regulatory element known as RtT RNA. The exact function of RtT is unknown although it is thought that it may be involved in changing the cellular response in relation to amino acid starvation. RNAcentral also lists the same sequence under 24 other names. The record is from RNAcentral. Lineage: Bacteria; Pseudomonadati; Pseudomonadota; Gammaproteobacteria; Enterobacterales; Enterobacteriaceae.